GGGUCUGGAUCAGGAACCCUUUCUAGUAACACGUCCAUGCACCAUUUCUAUAUUUUCUUACCAGAGAAGUUUCUCUGAACGUGUGGAGCACCGGAAACCACGAGGAGGCGGCUCAGCAUUCACUCCUGAGCAUGAAGCUGGCUCUUGGUGGUGCUUCUCUGCAAUUGCCUUUUGCCACUGAUGAUCACUCUUCUCUUCCUUUGGGAGAGUGAAAGGGAAAGGAAGCCAUCUGAAGGGU
This 238-nucleotide small nucleolar RNA is filed under the name Gorilla gorilla gorilla (western lowland gorilla). Its description in RNAcentral is "Small nucleolar RNA U3 (ENSGGOG00000030661.2)". It matches the Rfam family "Small nucleolar RNA U3". From Rfam's summary of the family: Small nucleolar RNAs (snoRNAs) are involved in the processing and modification of rRNA in the nucleolus. There are two main classes of snoRNAs: the box C/D class, and the box H/ACA class. Lineage: Eukaryota; Metazoa; Chordata; Mammalia; Primates; Hominidae. The record is from RNAcentral.